AAAUCCAAUUCUCUAGCUUUCGUUUACGAUCAACCAAAUGCAGCUAUGGCUUUGCACUCCGUAAGUCUUUCUUCUUCUUCGUAGUCUUCGCAGCUAUUGAUUUUUCCAAUCGCAGGCCAGAGUUUUACAAUAAGUUCGCAUUUUAAUUCUUCUUCUUUCGCUCCUCCCCUUCGGAGAUCCCACGCUCAUCUUUGAGAAAGAAUUCUGAAAUACGAAUUCAGAGUUAUUGCAAAAUCAUUCAAGCCCUUCCCUACCGUGCGUCCUCAUUCAAGAAGAUCAAAAUCAUUGCGAUCCACAUUCAAUUGGCUGUGAGAAACGAUGAAGAGUUGAGCAAGCUUUUGAGAGUGAUGACAAUUACGAACGGAGGUGUUCAAUUUUCUGGUUAUUUAAUUUCAUCGAAUACAAUUUGAACUCUAGCAUUGUGUAAGAACAAAUUUUGACCAGAACUAGGUAUGCUAUUGUUUUUAUUUUGAUAUGGGUUACUUUGCAAUUUUUUGUAUUUAUUGAUUUUGGUGGUCUCCAUUUUUUUUUCUUUUCUUAUUGUUGUUUUCAAAGGAAUUUUUAAUGGUUGGGUUUGAAAUUGUUGAAGGAGGCGAAGAAGUUGCUAUGGGAGGAUCGUCUAUUUCAUAAGAACAUGACGGUUCCGAAUGAGGCUAAUAUCGACUUGGCCACUUGAUUUAGGUAAUCACUUUUAUUUUUCUAUAAAGGAAAAACUAUGCUCAACAACAAUCUAUUAGCAAUUCAUAUAUAUUGUGGAGCCGGAAAAGAGAAUAGUUUCAAUAACUACUAUUAUUGCUAUUGUUGGGCCAAUUGGUGUAUGAUUGGUAGUAGCCGCCAUAACAGGAACAGGUUACUGAAAUUAUGACCAAUUUGUUCGUAUCAAAGGUUGUCUUAUUGGAGUUUAUUGCAGAAAUCUGAGAAGGGUCUGCAGCCAAAAGAUUUGAGAUUGCUGCUAAGGUUGUGUAAGGAGGCACACCUCUGAAAGUAAUGAAAGCUUGACAUGUUCUGUUUAGACCAUUGCAGAAGUAGCCAAGAGAAGAGUUUGAGUUAUCCUUUUUGUCACAUUCGGUUGUGUCUUCUCUCACAUAUGGUUGUUGAGCAAAAAUUGAAGAGAAGCUACAACUAAUAAUGAUGAUGAUGAUGAAGAAGAAGAAAAUGAGCUUUGGAGAACUCAUUUAAUCUCAAACAAUAACUAAUAAUAAUUUUUCUUCAAUUAUUAUUAACUAAUAAUGAUGAUGAUGAUGAAGAAGAAGAAAAUGAGCUUUGGAGAACUCAUUUUGUCUUGGAAAAUCUAAAUAGUUAUUGUUCUAAAUAUGUAUAGAUAUAUUAUUAACAAAGUCAACAAAGAAAGUGAAACUACUUGUGUGAAUGUGAUAAAGGAAGCACUUUAACAUUGUUUUUGGGCAUUAUUUAGUAUACAUCUUUGCAUCGUUCAUUUCAUUUAAUCAGAGGUUGACUACUCAAUAUAAAUGUACCUCUAAAAAUAA
This is a long non-coding RNA of Cannabis sativa, 1487 nucleotides long. RefSeq lists it as uncharacterized. The record is from RefSeq and is a predicted model, not a curated record. NCBI's taxonomy places the organism in Eukaryota, Viridiplantae, Streptophyta, Magnoliopsida, Rosales, Cannabaceae. The transcript is spliced from 3 exons.